GGAUUCCUUUAGUAAUGGCGAAUGAAGAAGGAUUAGCUCAACAUGAAAAUUGGGGCUUCUGGCCUUGAAUUGUAGUUUGAAGAUGCAUUUGCCAAUGGACAUGAUAAUGAAAGCCUUUUGGGAAAAAGCAUCAACGAGGGUGAGAAUCCUUCUUGACAUUUCAAUUGUCCAUGUACGGUGUGCAUUGAAGAUUCACGUUCCUUGGGAUUUGAACGCAAACUUGUUGGUAAAUUUCAUUUAAAGCUAAAUAUUGGUUUGAGACCGAUAGAAAACAAGUACCAUGAGGGAAAAGUGAAAAGGACUUUGAAAAGAAAGUUAAAAGUGCUUGAAAUUGCUGAAGAGGAAGCGGGUGUAUUUCAAACACAAUUUUCAAGAUUGUUGUGCAUAUCUUUGAUUUCUUGUUGUCUUGACUUCAUCGCAGCAGCAAGACCUAUUAGUGAAUGUACAAUGUUGCUUGUGUUUUGUGCCUUCAUCGAUUUACAGCUAUAGAAACAACCUAAACAUGACUAUUUGCUCUUGUGCAAAUGAACGUUUGGGUGCAGAUUUAGCUUGUGAAUCGCCUUGCUUCUUGUUGUGUUGAUACCUCGGUGUCCACAACAUGAAAAUGAUGGCCAAAGAAAUACAUUCGGCCCGUCUUGAAACACGGACCAAGGAGUUUAACACAUGUGCAAGUUUGGUGUGUGAUGCUUCUUUGCGCAAUGAAAAUGAUAUUUGGUAUAUUCUUGCACCAAUAACCAACCGCUCAAUUGUGAGAGGUUUGAGUAUGAGCAUAUUUGUUAAGACCCGAAAGAUGGUGAACUAUGCCUGGGAAGGGUAAAUUCAGGGGAAACUCUGAUGGAGGCUCGUAGCGAUACUGACGUGCAAAUCGUUCGUCAUACU
This 879-nucleotide ribosomal RNA is filed under the name Protoceratium reticulatum. RNAcentral's name for it is "LSU rRNA". It matches the Rfam family "Eukaryotic large subunit ribosomal RNA", at positions 72 to 911 of the family's 3401-position model. Lineage: Eukaryota; Dinophyceae; Gonyaulacales; Protoceratiaceae. The record is from RNAcentral.